GGCAUCUCCUGACAUGGCUUUCCCUGCUUCUUAAGGACUUGGCAGGGGAAGCAAAGAUUAAUGGGAGGAAUGAGAGAGAGAAUACUUUCAUGCAAAAUGUUUCUUUCCAUGCUUAAUUUCUCCUUUCAUUCUUUCCUAGGCAGAUAAAUAGCAGAGAGUGAUUACACGUAACUCUUCUCACCACGGAUUCCGGCAUUUGUGGGCAGCUGCAGAAGAGUAGGUGGGAGGAUCUCCCAGAUUAUGAGGCCAGUUUUUCUGUGGCUCAGAGAGUGCCAGUGACUCGCUCAAGAUAAAACAGCUUGUUAGUGGCAGGGAUGGAGCCCAGAAAUCCUGUUUCCUGUCCUCAGGAGUGUGUGUUCGAAAGAAGUUCUUGGCAAAGACAUGUUCACAGAUAGUAUUUUCCAGUCUGCCAGUGCCAUUGGGGAUUGCACUGUAGCAAACUAUUUCUGUGAGUUUCUGCUGAGAUCGACAAAUGAAGAAAUAUAGUGAAGACUUGGUGGAUACCCAGUUCUGCCAAACUAUCUAAAUCUUCUCAACAAGACAAGAACAUAAUGGAAAACAACAUGGAGCUUUGGAGCAUGGUGCUUGGUCCAACACCUUUGCUUCCAGGUGAAGCGCUGUCAAGAGAAAGAGGAUUUCAUGAAUUUGCUUUACUACUUACAGAACCAAGCACAGAGGACUCAGACAAAAGGUUUCUUUUCCACUUCUCGUAGCAGCUCUAGCCUUACUUUCUGUUCUAUGGUUGAAAAUGGCAGCAGCAGAUGAUGCAAGAAUCCUUGGCUACUGAGUGUUCUGGGCAAAGUAGAGCUUGCUACCCUCCAGACCCACGUGGGGCUGCUGGAC
Molecule: long non-coding RNA, 843 nt
Filed under: Pan troglodytes (chimpanzee)
Lineage: Eukaryota; Metazoa; Chordata; Mammalia; Primates; Hominidae
Description: long non-coding RNA NONPTRT012135
Source: RNAcentral